Tephrocybe sp. NHM501043 is the source of this 95-nucleotide non-coding RNA. NCBI's taxonomy places the organism in Eukaryota, Fungi, Basidiomycota, Agaricomycetes, Agaricales, Lyophyllaceae. The record is from the annotation of a GenBank genome assembly.
UCGGGUAUGGUGUAACGGCUAACAUUGCCGCCUCUCAUCGCAUCGCAAGCAGGGGGGUUUCGCGGCAGCUCGGGGUUCGAUUCCCCGUACCCGAA